CGCCUCACCUCGGGGUGCCGGCGCAAGGCUGGCUGAGAUGCGAUCUUCGCGAACCCGUUGAACCUGAACCGGUUAAGACCGGCGGAGGGAAGGUAGCCGGAUCCCCC
Molecule: non-coding RNA, 107 nt
Filed under: Thioclava pacifica
Lineage: Bacteria; Pseudomonadati; Pseudomonadota; Alphaproteobacteria; Rhodobacterales; Paracoccaceae
Also listed under: 1 other name
Description: TPP sequence
Rfam family: TPP riboswitch aptamer (THI element)
About the family: Vitamin B(1) in its active form thiamin pyrophosphate (TPP) is an essential coenzyme that is synthesised by coupling of pyrimidine and thiazole moieties in bacteria. The previously detected thiamin-regulatory element, thi box was extended, resulting in a new, highly conserved RNA secondary structure, the THI element, which is widely distributed in eubacteria and also occurs in some archaea.
Source: RNAcentral